GCCCUGCCGUGGCCAGGGCUGGCUUGCAGGCACACAGCCCUUUAGAACAUACCGUUUAGGUGCGGCACGGAUGCGAUUUUGUUUACAGGGCAAUGGUCCUCCCGGUUACCCUCUGCCAGGAAUCCAGGCUCUUUUCCCAGAAAUAAUGCUCUUCCAAAGGGUAGAUAAAUAUCCCCUCCCAUUAUAUGGAGAGUUAAUAAGAUAACCUGAGAACUGCAGGCACACACCCAAGGGCAGCGCAUGGCUGGAGCAUGACCCUGUCACGGGAAGACUGAGGGCGUGGACGACACCAGACAGGUGACCGGAGAGCAGCGUACAGACCUCGGCGCCAACCGGGACUGGCUGCGGCACAGGCGGAGGAGGGAGGGGCAAGGAGGCACCUGACUAACAUGAGGAAAAUUCCUGGGUACAUCACCCCCAGAUGAAUGUCUAAGGAGAUUGUUCUGACCAUGAAUGACAUAUUCCAAUUUGGGGUUUUAUUUAAAAUUUCCCUGCAUUGAAAAACUUGAAAGACUCAAGACAUACUUUGUGGGUCCAGCUACUGAUUCAAGAGAAAAUUGCUAUGUUAGUAAUAGUCAUUUAUAUGACAAAAUUAUAAUAUUUCAAUAUUUUCUGCAAUAAUGAUUCAUCCCAUACAGCCGCAUUGGAAUGUUCAGAUAUGACAUAUAGAGCUCAUGCUUUAUUUUCCAACCUGUGAAUUGCCUUAAGAAUUUUAUUUAUCAGGGACGCCUGGGUGGCUCAGUUGGUUAAGCGCCUGAAUUUGACUCAAGUCAUGAUCUCAUAGUUCGUGGGUUCCAGCCCCACGUCAGGCUCUCUGCUGUCAGCACAGAGUCUGUUUCAGAUCCUCUGUCCCCCUCUCUCUGCCCCUCCCCUGCUUACAUUCUCCUCCCCACCCCCGGUCUCUCUCUCUCUCUCUCACUCACAAAAAUAAAUAUUAAAAGCGUUUUUAAAAA
Acinonyx jubatus (cheetah) is the source of this 953-nucleotide long non-coding RNA. RefSeq lists it as uncharacterized. The record is from RefSeq and is a predicted model, not a curated record. The transcript is spliced from 2 exons. Lineage: Eukaryota; Metazoa; Chordata; Mammalia; Carnivora; Felidae.